This 1387-nucleotide long non-coding RNA is filed under the name Oryctolagus cuniculus (rabbit). Its description in RNAcentral is "lncRNA (ENSOCUG00000035219.1)". Lineage: Eukaryota; Metazoa; Chordata; Mammalia; Lagomorpha; Leporidae. The record is from RNAcentral.
AGGAGAACCCACCUCACCAAGGUGUGGACUCCAUCCCCGUAUCAGUGACGUCAGGGAAACGGAUCAGGUUGUGAGCUCUGGACUGCGUGCAAGUCAGAGAAAGGCUGACUUCAAGGGAGCUGAGGUGAGGGCCGUAGGAACCGGCAGGGAUGCUGUCUUUCUGGAGACCCUGAGGGCUGCCGGUCGGCCCAGGGGCCAUCUCCUACCCUGUCCCUGGUGCCCUGCUGCCUUCUGGAGCUGGUCACAGUGGAAACGAGGCGCCGAUGUUGCUUCUCCGGUCUCCAAGACGUAUGGCACCUAUGAAUCACAAAAAUCGCCAGCGGCUCAUAAUGCAGAGACGCAUCCGCGUUUGUCAGCCGGAGUGACACCCUCAGUGUGGUGUGGACAUGGGCACAGGCAUUGCAUUUGUCAGCUGGAGCAACACCCUCGGUGUGGUGUGGACGCGGGCACAGGCAUCCACGUUUGUCAGCUGGAGCGAUACCCCUCAGUGUGGUGUGGACAUGGGCACAGGCAUUGCAUUUGUCAGCUGGAGCAACACCCUUGGUGUGGUGUGGACGCGGGCACAGGCAUCUCAUUUGUCAGCCAGAGUGACACCCUCGGUGUGGUGCAGACAUGGGCACAGGCAUCUGCAUUUGUCAGCCGGAGUGACACCCUCAGUGUGGUGUGGACGCGGGCACAGGCAUCCACGUUUGUCAGCCAGAGCGACACCCUUAGUGUGGUGCGGAUGCGGGCACAGGCAUCCGCGUUUGUCAGCCGGAGCGACACCCUCGGUGUGGUACGGACGUGGGCACAGGCAUCCGCGUUUGUCAGCUGGAGCGAUACCCUCAGUGUGGUGCGGACAUGGGCACAGGCAUUGCAUUUGUCAGCUGGAGCAACACCCUCGGUGUGGUGUGGACGCGGGCACAGGCAUCGCAUUUGUCAGCCAGAGCGACACCCUCGGUGUGGUACAGACAUGGGAACAGGCAUCUGCAUUUGUCAGCCGGAGUGACACCCUCAGUGUGGUGUGGACAUGGGCACAGGCAUCCACGUUUGUCAGCCAGAGCGACACCCUUAGUGUGGUGCAGAUGCGGGCACAGGCAUCCGUGUUUGUCAGCCGCAGCGACACCCUUGGUGUGGUGCGGAUGCGGGCACAGGCAUCCAUGUUUGUCAGCCGGAGCGACAUCCUCGGUGUGGUGUGGACAUGGGCACAGUUAUCCGCGUUUGUCAGCCGCAGCGACACCCUCUGUGUGGUGUGGACAUGGGCACAGGCAUCCGCGUUUGCCUGCCAGAGCGACACCCUUGGUGUGGUGCAGACAUGGGCACAGGCAUCGCAUUUGUCAGCCGGAGCGACACCCUCGGUGUGGUGCAGACAUGGGCACAGGCAUCCGCGUUUGUCUGCCAGAGCGAC